GUUCAUAUAAUAUAUUUAUUAUUAUAUUAAUUUUGUAAAUUAAAAAAGUUUUAACUAUGAACA
Molecule: transfer RNA, 63 nt
Filed under: Galendromus occidentalis (western predatory mite)
Lineage: Eukaryota; Metazoa; Arthropoda; Arachnida; Mesostigmata; Phytoseiidae
Description: tRNA-Thr
Source: RNAcentral